UGCCAGAAUGACAACAGUGUCGUCUCAAACC
Molecule: non-coding RNA, 31 nt
Filed under: Mus musculus (house mouse)
Lineage: Eukaryota; Metazoa; Chordata; Mammalia; Rodentia; Muridae
Source: RNAcentral